GGCCCAGUAGCCGGCAGGAAGCGGCCCCGCCCUUCGCGUGCGGCCUUGGGGCCGGGGCGGGAGCCUGGCUGCGCGCUCGCACUUGACCUGCAUCCGGGUUUUCUUGUUAAGCGCAGGUUGGGACCUGGGACCUGGGACCCUUUGCUGCAGUACUUGCACCUGGACGAAUAUCUCCUCGACCAGCAGAAUACAAGAAACUCUAAGGAACUAAAAAUAACUGCCCACAUGUGCAGUUGGGGCAAAAUAUGAACAAUGAGGUACAACAAGGCCAAAACCCAGCUGCCACUUCUGCGGUGCCAGGAGCAAAGGCGGGGUCCUGCGCAUGGUCCCUACAAGGGGUGGGCAGACCCCCUAAGCUGCCCCUCUGGCCUACCCACUGAUCCACCCCCCCUCACCGCAUUUAAGGGACCAGCUUGUCACCCCCUCAGGGAGUGCGCAAGGACACCUGUUACAUGUUUUUGCUCCCUUGUGCCGCAGCGAUAAAGCCUUACCUGAAUUCCUUGUCUGGCCUCAUCAAUUUCUAUUGAUUAAAGAAUCCAAACACCCAGA
This is a long non-coding RNA of Aethalodelphis obliquidens (Pacific white-sided dolphin), 549 nucleotides long. RefSeq lists it as uncharacterized. NCBI's taxonomy places the organism in Eukaryota, Metazoa, Chordata, Mammalia, Artiodactyla, Delphinidae. The record is from RefSeq and is a predicted model, not a curated record. The transcript has 2 exons.